RNAcentral lists this ribosomal RNA (798 nucleotides) under uncultured Sphingobacteriales cum 'Crenotrichaceae' bacterium. RNAcentral describes it as "bacterial SSU rRNA". It matches the Rfam family "Bacterial small subunit ribosomal RNA", at positions 73 to 867 of the family's 1533-position model. Lineage: Bacteria; Pseudomonadati; Bacteroidota; Sphingobacteriia; Sphingobacteriales. The record is from RNAcentral.
ACUGUAGCAAUACAGUCGAUGGCGACCGGCAAACGGGUGCGGAACACGUACACAACCUUCCUUUUAGUGGAGAAUAGCCCAGGGAAACUUGGAUUAAUACUCCGUAACAUAUAGAAGUGGCAUCACUUUUAUAUUAUAGCAGCAAUGCGCUAGAAGAUGGGUGUGCGGCUGAUUAGAUAGUUGGCGGGGUAACGGCCCACCAAGUCGACGAUCAGUAACUGGUGUGAGAGCACGACCAGUCACACGGGCACUGAGACACGGGCCCGACUCCUACGGGAGGCAGCAGUAAGGAAUAUUGGUCAAUGGACGCAAGUCUGAACCAGCCAUGCCGCGUGGAGGAUGAAGGUCCUCUGGAUUGUAAACUUCUUUUAUUUGGGAAGAAACCCAUCUUUUCUAAGAUGGUUGACGGUACCAGAUGAAUAAGCACCGGCCAACUCCGUGCCAGCAGCCGCGGUAAUACGGAGGGUGCAAGCGUUAUCCGGAUUCACUGGGUUUAAAGGGUGCGUAGGUGGGCAAGUAAGUCAGUGGUGAAAUCUCCGGGCUUAACCCGGAAACUGCCAUUGAUACUAUUUGUCUUGAAUACUGUGGAGGUCAGCGGAAUAUGUCAUGUAGCGGUGAAAUGCUUAGAUAUGACAUAGAACACCAAUUGCGAAGGCAGCUGGCUACACAAAUAUUGACACUGAGGCACGAAAGCGUGGGGAUCAAACAGGAUUAGAUACCCUGGUAGUCCACGCCCUAAACUAUGGAUACUCGACAUUUGCGAUAAACUGCAAGUGUCUGAGCGAAAGCAUUAAGUAU